Mizuhopecten yessoensis (Yesso scallop) is the source of this 1841-nucleotide long non-coding RNA. RefSeq lists it as uncharacterized. Lineage: Eukaryota; Metazoa; Mollusca; Bivalvia; Pectinida; Pectinidae. The transcript has 3 exons. The record is from RefSeq and is a predicted model, not a curated record.
GCCUCACAAGAUGUUGGUGUCGGUGGUUCAGAGUCCCUGCUUGUUUAGAGAUCUUGGCAAACUCUCUCCCAAUCACCAAACAUAUGGCUUGGAAGUGUUUCACAAUAUUGUGAAUCACUUUGCUUCCAAAAGCAAUCACUACUUCUAUCCAUCAAUGCUUGCAAGAUUGUACCUUGCAGCCUUACACUAUAAUGAAAAUAAUAAAAAAAAGAGCAGAGACAAAAGAUGGGCAGCAGAAAUGGCAAAUUUCCUAUCCCAAGGCCAAGAAUGGAAAAUAAGUGGUUGUAAAACCAUGCAAGACUCGACCAACAUAUGGCUAUGUGGCUCUCUUGAUCGAUGCUUGCAUAGACAGGCGAAUGGAUCUGCCAAACUACACCACUGCCAUCGUUGAUGGAAGGGAAAGUUUUGGACAGAUUCCUCCACCUCUUACAGACUCCUACCAGCAUGUGAACAAGAGUAAAUUAAUUGAAAGACAUAGGUCAAGGUUCAUUGCCCGAAAUGGUGCGAGCCCAGGGAUCUCUGAUGCCACGUGUUCACCUAUGGCCUGACAUACCUAAAACCACAGUACUCCUCCGAUGGAAAUGUUGCCCGUAUCUUGACAACAGCACAUGCAGGGAUCACCAUUCGAUUCCUUUUCCCAAGGCGAUGCCAUAUCCACCGAGUAAAUCGUCUGUAGGCAAUGUAUCUGUACAGUCCGAGGACGAUAAAAUGCACAACUAUUACACACUGAUUUUAUGUGUUCUAAAAGACAAUGUGUUACAAAAGACAAUAACUUGACAGCAGUUGUGGUAUUGAGAAGACAAUUUGUAAAUGCCAUACGAUAUAUAUAUAUGUACAAAACAAUAGAGUUAGCAGUUGGCUGCUGAAUGAGUACUUUGAGUUUGAUAUUUUUGUGUUGAAUUGACUUGUAUGACCCUACUUACUCAUUAAUUGGCUCAUUGUCAUCAAUAGGCCCAUCAUGCUCGACAAACUCAAAAAGUGAGACUUCCAAGACAUCUCUAUUUAGGCAGUUUGCAAUGAAACCCUCAUGAUUUGUGAUACACAUGAUUCCUUUUUUAAGUCAAUUUCCUGGCAACACAGGCAUUCUGUCUCUGUUGUCAUGGCUGUGCAGCAUUCACAAUCACACCUGGAAUUCAAAGUACUAGAUCUAUAUAUGAUUUGUAUAUAAUUUGAAUUUUAUAUUACAUAUGCUGACAACAUAAUAUGCGCAAUAUGCCUAACCUGAUGUUCACACAAAAUUCAAGUAAAUAAGAAACAGAUAUAUUCUGCUUUGGCCUUUAUUAACUAUAUAUAUUGAUUUAUAAUUGCAAUUCUAUCUGUCUGUUGUAAAGGUUCAAUUUUUGAUUGCCUUUUGGGUAUUUUCCACAUAGAAUUAGAGGAAGACCUGUGUCUUGUAACAGGAAAUACACAGAUUUUGUUUUGGUCUUAGCCACAAUAAUCCAUCUUAUUAUUUGAUCAUUUGAAUUUAGUGUCAUCAACAAGUUUUGAGCUUUUUGUUGUCCUCAUGAUUUAGUUGGUUUUUUUUUGCAAGAAUGAUUGCAGAAAUACUUCAUAUCCAUUGUCUAAAUGCAUGUAUAAUCAAACGAGCUCUGAAACAUAAUUACAGGCUCAUAGCAGAAACGUUUGUAUAACAAUAAUUGACUGGAAAAAUUCCUACACCUUGCAGCACUCUAUAACUUCAAAAUGAUCAAUUUCAAAUCCAAGUAGACAGGAAGGGUAAAGGAAUGCAUAUAGGCUUAUCUAUUCCAACAGAGAUUGGAGAUAAGCUCACAAGUUUAUGUUUGCAAAUUUAUGAAAAAAAUUAAAAUCCUGAAAUUCUGUUCUGUUGUUGUGUAAUCAUU